GAUGAACGCUAGCGGGAGGCUUAACACAUGCAAGUCGAGGGGCAGCAUAGGGUAGCAAUACUCUGAUGGCGACCGGCAAACGGGUGAGUAACGCGUAUGCAACCUACCCUGUACAGGGGGAUAACCCGGAGAAAUUCGGACUAAUAUCCCGUAAUAAUAUCCGGAGGCAUCUUUGGAUAUUUAAAGUUCCGACGGUACGGGAUUGGGCAUGCGUAACAUUAGCUGGUUGGUAAGGUAACGGCUUACCAAGGCUAUGAUGUUUAGGGGUCCUGAGAGGGUGGUCCCCCACACUGGUACUGAGACACGGACCAGACUCCUACGGGAGGCAGCAGUGAGGAAUAUUGGUCAAUGGGCGCAAGCCUGAACCAGCCAUCCCGCGUGCAGGAAGACGGCCCUAUGGGUUGUAAACUGCUUUUCCAGGGAGAGAAACUUACGCACGUGUUGCGUGACUGACGGUACCCUGGGAAUAAGCAUCGGCUAACUCCGUG
This 488-nucleotide ribosomal RNA is filed under the name uncultured bacterium. RNAcentral describes it as "bacterial SSU rRNA". It matches the Rfam family "Bacterial small subunit ribosomal RNA", at positions 28 to 507 of the family's 1533-position model. The record is from RNAcentral.